RNAcentral lists this ribosomal RNA (346 nucleotides) under uncultured eukaryote. RNAcentral's name for it is "SSU rRNA". It matches the Rfam family "Eukaryotic small subunit ribosomal RNA", at positions 594 to 945 of the family's 1831-position model. The record is from RNAcentral.
AUAGCGUAUAUUAAAGUUGUUGCAGUUAAAAAGCUCGUAGUUGAACCUUGGACCUGGCCAACUGGUCUGCCUCACCGCAUGCACUGGUUUGGUCGGGUCUUUCCUUCUGGCAAACUGCAUGCCCUUCACUGGGUGUGUUUGGGAACCAGGACUUUUACUUUGAAAAAAUUAGAGUGUUCAAAGCAGGCAUUAGCUCGAAUACAUUAGCAUGGAAUAAUAGAAUAGGACGUGUGGUUCUAUUUUGUUGGUUUCUAGGACCACCGUAAUGAUUAAUAGGGAUAGUCGGGGGCAUCAGUAUUCAAUCGUCAGAGGUGAAAUUCUUGGAUCGAUUGAAGACUAACUACUG